This 117-nucleotide ribosomal RNA is filed under the name Periophthalmus magnuspinnatus. The record is from RNAcentral. Lineage: Eukaryota; Metazoa; Chordata; Actinopteri; Gobiiformes; Gobiidae.
UAUUGUGGCCAGACCUCCUUGUCAAAGCCUGAUCUGGUCAGAUCUCUGAAGUUUAGCAGGUCUGGGCCUGGUCAGGACUGGGAUGGGAGAGCACUGGAACACCAGGUGCCACAGUGG